RNAcentral lists this long non-coding RNA (922 nucleotides) under Oryza sativa Indica Group (long-grained rice). RNAcentral describes it as "lncRNA OsMH63_03G025810". Lineage: Eukaryota; Viridiplantae; Streptophyta; Magnoliopsida; Poales; Poaceae. The record is from RNAcentral.
AUGGAUGACACCAACGAUGGUGGGGAGAGGGGAUCCGGUGUUGGCGUCAACCCAUCAUCUAUGCUCGGUGCUGCCAACGUCGUCCUUCAAGCCCCAUCGCCAUCCUCCUCUGGAUCUGCUCUAGGAUGCCCACCAUUUUCGAGAGAGGAAGUGUGUCCUUCCCAUGGAGUCAGAUCUGGCGUCUCCAUGGCGCGUCGUCGUCUUCCGGUGUCGUGCACGCGCGCCACCACCGCCCUGCCGCACGCCAGCAUCGCGGAGACUUGCAGCUUCAUCGAGGAGCACAAGCUGUGCGUGGAGUCGCUGUCAUUGCUGUCGCUGACGGCGAGGGCGGCGGCAGACACGCGCGUGCUGGCGCGCGCGGCGGUGCUGCUCGCGAAGCAGAAGUGCAGAACGCGACAACGACGGCGGCGUACCUGUCCCAGCUGCUGCACCCGGACGGCACGCCGUACGACGACGCAGACGACUGCACGGUCAGGUACGACAGGGUGGUGGCUACACGGCCUGCCGGAGCUGCUCGCCGCGCGCAACGGCCCUGUCAAACGCCUCUGCAACUCCUCGACGACGCCGGCGUUCUUCCUCUUCCUCGUCGGCCUCGAGGUCGACCCGGACCCGGCCUCGCUCCGCCGCACUGGCCGCACCGCCCGGCGCGAAGCUCCGGUGAUGGCACCACCCCUCCCGCUCCCGCGUCGACACCGUGGCGGCCUCGUGGCGCCGGCGCCCACCCUGCCUCCUGGCCACCACACGGCGCGGCGACGGAUCUUGGAGUGGAUCACCGCCGCAACUCCAAAGCACCUCCGCGAGAAGCAGUGCCUCGGCCACCGAGUAGGCCGCGCGCUCUGGGCGUCGCCGCCGCCGCCUGAGCAAGCCGUGACCGGGAGAAGAGAGAGGAGGGAGAGAGAGAUGGAGAGCUGACAUGUGGGCC